RNAcentral lists this small RNA (1331 nucleotides) under Pan troglodytes (chimpanzee). Its description in RNAcentral is "retained intron". The record is from RNAcentral. Lineage: Eukaryota; Metazoa; Chordata; Mammalia; Primates; Hominidae.
ACAAUGCUCAGAUCGGGAGGUGGAGCCAAUCAGGUCCAACCAAGAGGAGGGGACACCGGCACUCCACUAGCAGGAAAACGGGCAGAGGGACCGCAAGCAGGGGGUGCCUAGUCCUCGUCCCCCAAAGACCAAUCGUAAGCCAGAUACAGGCGAGUGACUGUCAAGAAGGCCAAUUAGAGCCUCCGAAGGGAAUCUGGACCUGCCUCUUCUCUGAGGGACGGCUCUACCUACCAAUAGCAUGGGCGAGAAGGCGGUCCCUUUGCUAAGGAGGAGGCGGGUGAAGAGAAGCUGCCCUUCUUGUGGCUCGGAGCUUGGGGUUGAAGAGAAGAGGGGGAAAGGAAAUCCGAUUUCCAUCCAGUUGUUCCCCCCAGAGCUGGUGGAGCAUAUCAUCUCAUUCCUCCCAGUCAGAGACCUUGUUGCCCUCGGCCAGACCUGCCGCUACUUCCACGAAGUGUGCGAUGGGGAAGGCGUGUGGAGACGCAUCUGUCGCAGACUCAGUCCGCGCCUCCAAGAUCAGGGUUCUGGAGUCCGGCCCUGGAAGAGAGCUGCCAUUCUGAACUACACGAAGUGCCUGUAUUUCCAGGCAUUUGGAGGCCGCCGCCGAUGUCUCAGCAAGAGCGUGGCCCCCUUGCUAGCCCACGGCUACCGCCGCUUCUUGCCCACCAAGGAUCACGUCUUCAUUCUUGACUACGUGGGGACCCUCUUCUUCCUCAAAAAUGCCCUGGUCUCCACCCUCGGCCAGAUGCAGUGGAAGCGGGCCUGUCGCUAUGUUGUGUUGUGUCGUGGAGCCAAGGAUGUGAGUAGCAGAACCCUGGCAGCUGAGAGCCCACCUGUAUUAGUCCAUUUUCACACUGCUAUAAAGACGUACCAGAGGCCGGGUGCAGUGGCUUACACCUGUAAUCCUAGCACUUUGGGAGGCUGAGGCAGGCGGAUCAGCUGAGACCAGGAGUUCGAGACCAGCCUGGCCAACAUGGCGAAACCCGUCUCUACUAAAAAUACAAAAAUUAGCUGGGUGUGGUGGUGGGUGCCUAUAAUUCCAGUUACUUGGGAGGCUGAGGCAGGAGAAUCGCUUGAACUUGGGAGGCAGAGGCUGCAGUGAGCUGAGAUCGCACCCUUGCACUCCAGCCUGGGCAACAAGAGCGAGACUCCGUCUCGAAAAAAAAAGACAUACCUGAGACCGGUUUGCCUCGGACCCAAGGUGUGACACAGUUUACCGUAAAUACCUCUAUGUCUUGGCCACUCGGGAGCAGCAGGAAGUGGUGGGUACCACCAGCAGCCGGGCCUGUGACUGUGUUGAGGUCUAUCUGCAGUCUAGUGGGCAGCGGGUCUUC